GAUGUGAGUUAUUCCCCUUUGUGAACACACCCUUUCGCUUUUUAAAGCACUUUCAGCGAGGAGGAAGGAGAGUUUUUUAAUAGCACAUUGCAUUGACGUUACUCGCAGAAGAAGCCCCCGCUUACUCCGUGCCAGCAGCCGCGGUAAUACGGAGGGUGCAGGCGUUAAUCGGAAUUACUGGGCGUAAAGCGCACGCAGGCGGUUUGUUAAGUCAGAUGUGAAAUCCCCGCGCUUAACGUGGGAACUGCAUUUGAAACUGGCAAGCUAGAGUCUUGUAGAGGGGGGUAGAAUUCCAGGUGUAGCGGUGAAAUGCGUAGAGAUCUGGAGGAAUACCGGUGGCGAGGGCGGCCCCCUGGACAAAGACUGACGCUCAGGUGCGAAAGCGUGGGGAGCAAACAGGAUUAGAUACCCUGGUAGUCCACGCUGUAAACGAUGUCGACUUGGAGGUUAUACCCUUGAGGCGGGGCUUCCGGAGCUAACGCGUUAACUCGAAAGCCUGGGGAGUA
Molecule: ribosomal RNA, 506 nt
Filed under: Serratia sp. (in: enterobacteria)
Lineage: Bacteria; Pseudomonadati; Pseudomonadota; Gammaproteobacteria; Enterobacterales; Yersiniaceae
Description: bacterial SSU rRNA
Rfam family: Bacterial small subunit ribosomal RNA
Source: RNAcentral